This 253-nucleotide ribosomal RNA is filed under the name uncultured bacterium. RNAcentral's name for it is "partial 16S ribosomal RNA". It matches the Rfam family "Bacterial small subunit ribosomal RNA", at positions 524 to 776 of the family's 1533-position model. The record is from RNAcentral.
UACAGAGGGGGCAAGCGUUAUUCGGAAUUAUUGGGCGUAAAGGGUGCGCAGGCGGUGUUUUAAGUGAGAUGUGCAAUCCCCGGGCUUAACCUGGGAACUGCAUCUCAGACUGGAACGCUAGAGUACUGGAGAGGGUGGUAGAAUUCCACGUGUAGCGGUGAAAUGCGUAGAGAUGUGGAGGAAUACCAGUGGCGAAGGCGGCCACCUGGACAGUAACUGACGCUGAGGCACGAAAGCAUGGGUAGCAAACAGG